GCCCCCCUAGCUCAGUUGGCAGAGCAAGGGAUUCUUAAUCCCUGGGUCACAGGUUCGAGCCCUGUGGGGGGUACCA
RNAcentral lists this transfer RNA (76 nucleotides) under Planctomycetota bacterium. RNAcentral's name for it is "Planctomycetes bacterium tRNA-Lys". It matches the Rfam family "tRNA". From Rfam's summary of the family: Transfer RNA (tRNA) molecules are approximately 80 nucleotides in length. Lineage: Bacteria; Pseudomonadati; Planctomycetota. The record is from RNAcentral.